This 468-nucleotide ribosomal RNA is filed under the name uncultured bacterium. RNAcentral's name for it is "partial 16S ribosomal RNA". It matches the Rfam family "Bacterial small subunit ribosomal RNA", at positions 28 to 507 of the family's 1533-position model. The record is from RNAcentral.
GACGAACGCUGGCGGCGUGCUUAACACAUGCAAGUCGAACGGAAAGGCCCUGCUUUUGUGGGGUGCUCGAGUGGCGAACGGGUGAGUAACACGUGAGUAACCUGCCCUUGACUUUGGGAUAACUUCAGGAAACUGGGGCUAAUACCGGAUAGGAGCUCCUGCUGCAUGGUGGGGGUUGGAAAGUUUCGGCGGUUGGGGAUGGACUCGCGGCUUAUCAGCUUGUUGGUGGGGUAGUGGCUUACCAAGGCUUUGACGGGUAGCCGGCCUGAGAGGGUGACCGGCCACAUUGGGACUGAGAUACGGCCCAGCCUCCUACGGGAGGCAGCGGUGGGGAAUAUGGCACAAUGGGAGGAAGCCUGAUGCAGCAACGCCGCGUGCGGGAUGACGGCCUUCGGGUUGUAAACCGCUUUCGCCUGAGACGAAGCGUGAGUGACGGUAAUGGGUAAAGAAGCACCGGCUAACUACGUG